This 453-nucleotide ribosomal RNA is filed under the name Serratia sp. A88copa7. RNAcentral describes it as "bacterial SSU rRNA". It matches the Rfam family "Bacterial small subunit ribosomal RNA", at positions 64 to 521 of the family's 1533-position model. The record is from RNAcentral. Lineage: Bacteria; Pseudomonadati; Pseudomonadota; Gammaproteobacteria; Enterobacterales; Yersiniaceae.
GAGCUUGCUCUCCUGGGUGACGAGCGGCGGACGGGUGAGUAAUGUCUGGGAAACUGCCUGAUGGAGGGGGAUAACUACUGGAAACGGUAGCUAAUACCGCAUAACGUCGCAAGACCAAAGAGGGGGACCUUCGGGCCUCUUGCCAUCAGAUGUGCCCAGAUGGGAUUAGCUAGUAGGUGGGGUAAUGGCUCACCUAGGCGACGAUCCCUAGCUGGUCUGAGAGGAUGACCAGCCACACUGGAACUGAGACACGGUCCAGACUCCUACGGGAGGCAGCAGUGGGGAAUAUUGCACAAUGGGCGCAAGCCUGAUGCAGCCAUGCCGCGUGUGUGAAGAAGGCCUUCGGGUUGUAAAGCACUUUCAGCGAGGAGGAAGGUGGUGAGCUUAAUACGCUCAUCAAUUGACGUUACUCGCAGAAGAAGCACCGGCUAACUCCGUGCCAGCAGCCGCGGU